CUCUGGGCCAUCGUAUUGGUUCAGGGCAAAGGAG
This is a non-coding RNA of Lentilactobacillus buchneri ATCC 11577, 34 nucleotides long. Lineage: Bacteria; Bacillati; Bacillota; Bacilli; Lactobacillales; Lactobacillaceae. The record is from Rfam.